Molecule: ribosomal RNA, 559 nt
Filed under: Alternaria sp. OUCMBIII091042
Lineage: Eukaryota; Fungi; Ascomycota; Dothideomycetes; Pleosporales; Pleosporaceae
Description: eukaryotic LSU rRNA
Rfam family: 5.8S ribosomal RNA (bases 182-335)
Source: RNAcentral
CCAGCGCGGGGGGGAUAUUACCAAUAUGAGGCGGGCUGGACCUCUCGGGGUUACAGCCUUGCUGAAUUAUUCACCCUUGUCUUUUGCGUACUUCUUGUUUCCUUGGUGGGUUCGCCCACCACUAGGACAAACAUAAACCUUUUGUAAUUGCAAUCAGCGUCAGUAACAAAUUAAUAAUUACAACUUUCAACAACGGAUCUCUUGGUUCUGGCAUCGAUGAAGAACGCAGCGAAAUGCGAUAAGUAGUGUGAAUUGCAGAAUUCAGUGAAUCAUCGAAUCUUUGAACGCACAUUGCGCCCUUUGGUAUUCCAAAGGGCAUGCCUGUUCGAGCGUCAUUUGUACCCUCAAGCUUUGCUUGGUGUUGGGCGUCUUGUCUCUAGCUUUGCUGGAGACUCGCCUUAAAGUAAUUGGCAGCCGGCCUACUGGUUUCGGAGCGCAGCACAAGUCGCACUCUCUAUCAGCAAAGGUCUAGCAUCCACUAAGCCUUUUUUUCAACUUUUGACCUCGGAUCAGGUAGGGAUACCCGCUGAACUUAAGCAUAUCAAUAAGGCGGAGGAAA